GACGGACAGUGUUUGCUGUGCCAUAAAGAGCUCCGCAACUCCUCGGACCAAAAGGUCUGGCAACRUGUUUGGAGGCAAGUUCCUGCCCAUUUCAGUGGUUAGCUUUAGGUAUCUGGUUUGAAUAAGUCAACAUGACUAGGUGAGUAGGACUAAAAUAAUUAUGCUAUUUUUUGCCAUACUGACUUCUGUCAAACAGAUACCCAGAUGUUUUCACAGCUCCAGAAAAUGCGAUUAAUGCUAAACUAAUUAUCUGCUUAUUUAAGGUGCUUGGAGCUUUCUCUCUCUUGAAUGCCUGCUGCCUCAGCAGUGCUGGCUCCAUAAAUACAGUGUGACGGCGUGGCAGUCCAGUGGGACCACGAGUGGCCCUGGAAAUCCCCCUGGGCACAGCCGUCAGGAAUGACCAGUGACCCAGGGGGGUCCCUAUGGCCUGACCCUACUCCUGGAAGGAGCCUGUUUUUUCCAACAGGCAAGAGGUCUCCAUUUGCUCUGAGUUAUGUCCCCCCGMGUGGCUGCUCCCUGGGUCAGAGGCAUCACCCGUGAGACGAUGCCCUGCAUCAGCGGGCUGCAGAAGACAUCUCCUCCAGCGACCUGGCCAACGUGACGUGGCUGCGACAGGGCAAGGAGCUGCUGGGGCUGCAGGAAGCUUUCGUCCUUCCGCACGGCUUGCCUUUCACUGGACCACAGCUUCAGUUACCUUGCUCUUAAAACCACACCGGUACUCCCCUCUUGACGUGGACAUUUGCAACUGCGCUGUUAGGAUCCAGGGACUCAGAUCAGCUUGUGAGCACUGUGCUCCAAACAGAAUAAGCAGCCCAGGCCCCGUUUUGCUUUCAGAGCUGGUGACCAGUGCUGGGUCCAGCUGCUGCCCUCAGAGCUUCCCUGGUCCAGCGUGGUGACUGCUCUGCUGCAGCCAUCCCGUCUAGGUAUUCUCUGGUGUACAUGUUUCCYCUUAAACGAGCUCCAGGUGCGGAUCCAGCAGGGAUGCUGGUAAGGGAGCAAGGUGAGGGUAGGGGGUUGAUGCCACACAA
This 1028-nucleotide long non-coding RNA is filed under the name Dromaius novaehollandiae (emu). Its description in RNAcentral is "lncRNA (ENSDNVG00000011468.1)". The record is from RNAcentral. Lineage: Eukaryota; Metazoa; Chordata; Aves; Casuariiformes; Dromaiidae.